RNAcentral lists this ribosomal RNA (773 nucleotides) under uncultured Neocallimastigales. Its description in RNAcentral is "partial large subunit ribosomal RNA". It matches the Rfam family "Eukaryotic large subunit ribosomal RNA", at positions 22 to 635 of the family's 3401-position model. The record is from RNAcentral. Lineage: Eukaryota; Fungi; Neocallimastigomycota; Neocallimastigomycetes; Neocallimastigales.
UAGAUGCGAGAGUAGAGCAUAUCAAUAAGCGGAGGAAAAGAAACUAACUAGGAUUCCCUUAGUAACGGCGAGUGAAGCGGGAAGAGCUCAAAUUUGAAAUCUUCAAGGUUUACCUUGACGAAUUGUAGUUUAAAGAAGUGUUUUCUGUUGGAGUUUUGGUAAAAGUUCUUUGGAAUAGGACAUCAUAGAGGGUGAGAAUCCCGUAUUUGACCAUUAUUUCCAGCUGUGUGAUACACUUUCAAAGAGUCGGAUUGUUUGGGAAUGCAGUCCAAAAUGGGUGGUAAAUUUCAUCUAAAGCUAAAUAUUGGCGAGAGACCGAUAGCGAACAAGUACCGUGAGGGAAAGAUGAAAAGAACUUUGAAAAGAGAGUUAAACAGUACGUGAAAUUGUCAAAAGGGAAGCGUUUGACACCAGUGUUGUUUAGUUGAAAAUCAAUUCAAUAGUUUUUGAUUUUGAGUAGUAUUGACUUCAUCAGCUUGCUGCUCUCUUUUCGGAAAUUAUUGAAUGCACUUUUCAGUUAACAAGUCAACAUCAAUUUCUUUUGUUGUAAAAGGGUAAGAGGAAGGUGGCUUACGUUUCGGCGUAAGUGUUUAUAGCCUUUUACCUCUGCAAUCGGAGAGAUUGAGGACAGCAGCGUAGAUCCUUCGGGGUUAGAUACACUUGUGCUAAGCUAUAGCCUUGUAUAGACAACUUGUUGACUAUGCUCAGUCAUGUAGCUUACUCGCUUGUGCUAUUUUACCUACGCUUAGGAUGUUGACGCGCGUGUGUGCGUG